RNAcentral lists this long non-coding RNA (1294 nucleotides) under Marmota monax (woodchuck). The record is from RNAcentral. Lineage: Eukaryota; Metazoa; Chordata; Mammalia; Rodentia; Sciuridae.
CUCCCUCCCUCCUCUCUCUCUCUCUCUCUCUCAGCUUUCUGAUCACCAUGUGAGCUGCUUCCCUCUUCCACACACUCCAUCAUGAUGUUCAGCCUCAACUUGAUCCCUGAGUAAUGGAGCCUGCUGUCCAUGAGCUGAGACCUCUGAAACCGUGAGCCUCCAAAUAAACUUUUCCUCCUCUAAAAUUGUUCUGGACAGCUCUUUUAGUUACAGCAGUGAAAAAGCUGGCAAAAACAGACAGGAAGGUAAGUCUGGAUCAGGGACGAUUUCAACAGGUUGGCCUCAGACCAAAUAUGACAAAAUGAGGUCACAGAGGAAGAGCAAGGUUGCGCCCUGAGGUUGGAAAAACAAAAUCCAUGAUAUCAGUGUCCAUUUUGGGAAGAUAAAGAUUAAUUACACCGCAGUACAAAUGCUGAAUCUUUAAGAAGUUGGAGAUAUGAAGUACCCUGAUUUGAUUGCACAUUGUAUACAUGUAUUGAAUCAUCACACUGUGCCUCAAUUACUGUGUGUCAGAAAAGACUGACUACAGUGUAAUGGUUCAUCUGGAUUGUCAACCUGAUGCCCAGGAGAGAUGCCCAGGACCGAGAGGAUCCCCGUGUGCCUGUGAGGAUGUUUCCCGAUAUGAUUGUCAUGUGGGACAGGAACUGAGGGGAGACGCGCCAUGAGUGUGGCAGCUCUGUGCAGCAGGCAGGGCUGGUGGGACAGAGGCAGGAAGGAGGACGCUGUGCAGACACCAGCUCCUUUCUUCUGCUGCACACCUGAGGAGGACACCGGACUCCAGGUUCUUCGCUCCUCCAACACAGAAUCGCCCCAGGCCUUCAGUCUCUGACUGGGGCUGCAUCCUUGGUCCCUUUGGCUCUGAGCCUUCAGCCUCUGGGACUGAGCACUACUGAUUCCUGCAGCCCUCCAGCCUGGAGACAGCCACGGCGGGACGACCCAGCUUCUGAUCCUUAAGCCCAUCUCGUGCAUCCCUUUUUACAAACACACAAACACACAUGCACAUCCCCAUAGACUCUGUUCUAGAGAGCCUUACUGAUACACAUAACCUCUGUAGAGAAGUGGUAGUGGUUUUUGUAGAUAGAAAAUUCUUAUUAGCAGUUCAUCUCAUGUCUCUCACAAAGUGAAUUUGGCUUUAGGUGGCAUCCCUGGAAUUUUGAAUCUAGAUGGAGACAUGAGCACCCUGUGUUUUCUCUGUCUUUAGGUCGGAUCAGGCAUGAAAUAUUGUGCCUGGGACAUUUCAGAGCACAGGUGGUGCUGGGCUUGCAGUGGGGUUGUGUCACAAUCAUGCAUUUCA